This 325-nucleotide ribosomal RNA is filed under the name uncultured eukaryote. RNAcentral describes it as "partial 18S ribosomal RNA". It matches the Rfam family "Eukaryotic small subunit ribosomal RNA", at positions 1470 to 1796 of the family's 1831-position model. The record is from RNAcentral.
CCCUUAGAUGUUCUGGGCCGCACGCGCGCUACACUGAUGCAUUCAACGAGCCUAUCCCUGACCGACAGGUCCGGGUAAUCUUUGAAUCUGCAUCGUGACGGGGAUAGAUUAUUGCAAUUAUUAAUCUUCAACGAGGAAUGCCUAGUAGGCGCAAGUCAUCAGCUUGCGUCGAUUACGUCCCUGCCCUUUGUACACACCGCCCGUCGCUCCUACCGAUUGGGUGUGCUGGUGAAAUGUUCGGAUCGGCCGUUUGUCGCGGUUUCCGCGUCAUGUGGCUGGGAAGUUCAUUAAACCCUCCCACCUAGAGGAAGGAGAAGUCGUAACA